Mus musculus (house mouse) is the source of this 834-nucleotide long non-coding RNA. RefSeq annotates it as predicted gene, 34337. The transcript has 3 exons. The record is from RefSeq and is a predicted model, not a curated record. Lineage: Eukaryota; Metazoa; Chordata; Mammalia; Rodentia; Muridae.
GUGACUGCUGGGCUAUGUAGCUACCAUGAAACGGUCGCCCUGACCCUUGACCAAAUGCUUCGGCUCUCAUCCGAAGGCCACAGCAUCAGAAACCUUCACACCAAGUAUGCUGGGUCCCACCCUGGACCUUUCCAGUUGUAGUCUCUGGGAGAUGAGGCUAGCUUCUGCAUCCAGCUGUUUUCCCAGGUUUCCUUCCUUCCCUGAUGGCUACAUGCUGGGCAAGCAUCAACCUGACAACCCCCAUCUCAGCAAGCUCACCCUGAGAGGGAACACAGUGGUUUCAAUAAUUCGUCCUGCUUGACAGACUGAGGGGAACACUGGAUGGAGCCUAGAAGCCUUCCUCAUAAACCACAGCCGUCAAUUAAAAAAUGAAAAAAAAAAAAAAAAAAAAAAAAGCAAGCAAGAAAACCUGUGAAGCACACUUCUCUGGCCUGACUUACCAUUUUCUUUGAUCCAUUAAAGAUCCAAAAGCAAGCCCUUCUUCAUCUCUGGAGUGCGAGGCAAGGAGGGAAUAAUUAUCCAUAAAGUGGUCUUCCAAGUGUUUGUUUUGUGAUGAAAGAAAACUUUUGAGAGCCUGGAAGAAAGACAGAAUAUGUGAGUCUCUCCAGACGCCAUCAGUAAUAAUAUUAAUGAAUUAAUGAUUUACCCGAGUCUUAUAUGUCUAUUUGCUUUGCUGCUCAUAAGCAUACAUCGUUUCCAUAGUAACCUUGACAUCAGACCAAACUCCAUCGCUCUGGGAACCAAAGGGCAGCUCUCAAGGAAAAGCAUACAGUCUCGCUUGCUCUUUUCAGUGUUUGCCAAUGGGAAAAUGAUAAAUUGAUAUGUUCUAAAGGA